AACGCUAAGGCGGCGUGCCUUCACAUGCAAGUCGAGCGAUUGAAGUCCCUUCGGGGAUGGAUUAGCGUGCGGACGUGGUGAGUAACACGUGGGCAACCUGCCUCAAAGUGGGGGAUAGCCCUCCGAAAGGAGGAUUAAAUACCGCAUAACAUUGAAGUUUUCCGCAUGAUAAAACUAAUCAAAGGAGUAAUUUCCGCUUUGAGAUGGGCCCGCGGUGCAUUAGCUAGUUGGUGAGUGGUAACAGCUCACGCAAGGCCACGAUGCAUAGCCGACCUGAGAGGGUGAUCGGCCACAUUGGAAACUGAGACACGGUCCAGACUCCUACGGGAGGCAGCAGUGGGGAAUAUUGCGCAAUGGGGGAAACCCUGACGCAGCAACGCCGCGUGUGGUGAUGAAGGUCUUCGGAUUGUAAAACCCUGUCUUCUGGGACGAUAAUGACGGCCGUACCAGAGGAGGAAGCCACGGCUAACUACGUGCCAGCAGCCGCGGUAAUACGUAGGUGGCGAGCGUUGUCCGGAUUUACUGGGCGUAAAGGAUGCGUAGGCGGGCAUUUAAGUGAUGAGAUGUGAAAUCCCCGGGCUUAUCAAACUUGGGGGCUGCAUUUCAAACUGCAGGUGCCUAGAGUGCAGGGAGAGGUAAGUGGAAUUCCUAGUGUAGCGUGGUGAAAUGCGUAGAGAUUAGGAAGAACACCAGUGGCGAAGGCGACUUACUGGACUGUAACCCUGACGCGUGAGGGGCAUGAAAGCGUGGGUAGCAAACAGGAUUAGAUACCCUAGGUAGUCCACGCCGUAAACGAUGAAUACUAGGUGUAGGAGGUAUCGACCCCCCUUCUGUGCCGCAGUUUAAACAGC
RNAcentral lists this ribosomal RNA (851 nucleotides) under Clostridium tetanomorphum. RNAcentral describes it as "bacterial SSU rRNA". It matches the Rfam family "Bacterial small subunit ribosomal RNA", at positions 32 to 861 of the family's 1533-position model. The record is from RNAcentral. Lineage: Bacteria; Bacillati; Bacillota; Clostridia; Eubacteriales; Clostridiaceae.